Molecule: long non-coding RNA, 2234 nt
Organism: Haliotis rubra (blacklip abalone)
Lineage: Eukaryota; Metazoa; Mollusca; Gastropoda; Lepetellida; Haliotidae
Exons: 3
Source: RefSeq, a predicted model, not a curated record
GCAGGUCAGUCACGCAUGUCAUCUGCCUCCGAUCAGGCACAUGAAAAAACAACGAUACACAUUAGGGAAGUAUUUCUUUGUGCUAGGAUCGCACUGCAGACCUUUUGAUUUGUAUCCAGGCUUUUGUAUCAGUAUCAACAGCGUGGAGUCUUGCAUGACAGACAACGGCGGAUUUGGACCGGUCCAUACAUCGGUAUUAGCGGCAAGGAUUUGCAACUGAUUUUCACUCCAACUGCAUCAGUUCCUGGAUUGCACGUGUGGUUAUGUUUCCUGCUGUUGGAGGAGUCGCGGGUGUACUGAUGUCUCUGUGAAGUGUGUUUAUUGGUUUGGUAACGUGGCGCUCAGGAAUAUUCGAAUGAUUGCGCAGCCAUUGUAGCAACGACCCAUGUCGUUGGGCACGACGACGCACUAUCAACCGCGUUACCGAGCCCGAAAGCGCCGUCGCUGUCCUACAACAACGAGCGUCAGAAACAGGUGCAUCUGAGAAGAUUUUGGACUGGUGUUGAUGUGCUGGGCGAGGAGGCUGUAUGAAAUGUUCUGUCAAGAUGUCAUUUGGAAGUGUUUUUCUAGAAGAGGUCGAAAACUGGAAUACAUGGCCUUAUUUGGUAUUGCGGCAACCGUGCUGUUCGUACUAAGGCAGAAAUCUGACUUAUUCCGGUAUUCUUCAAAGGAGUUCGGAAUUUUCAAUCCAAACCUGACUAAACAUUUCAUUAUAUGUAUGGAAUCUGGUCGCCUUGGAAACGCGAUGUUUACUUAUGCAUCAAUUUACGGAAUUGCUUCCAAAAAGAAUAUGAGUGUUGUCAUCGAUGAAGGAAAUCCGCUGGUGAAACAUUUCAAACUGGACGCUAAAAGCAUGAAGAUACAGUCACUAAGUGGUUAUUUGAAAUUGGUCGAAAAAAGUUCUUGUGACUUCGACCAAGCAUUGAUGAAUUUCGACCCAAACAGAAAUGUCAUGAUAGAGCGUUACUUGCAGUCCUGGCGCUACUUCUCUCACGUUGAGGACCAAAUCCGGAGUCAGUUUGAUUUCACAGAUUCUACAAAAGCAUCGGCUGAUGGUAUUCUUAACAAGAUUCGUAAGGAAAGGUCUUUGUCCGCCAACGCGAGCGCCACCUUAGUGGGCAUUCAUUACCGAAGAGGGGACUUUGUGGAGAAACAUUUCAAAGAUUUUGGAUAUGCGCUUGCUCCUGUGGAAUAUAUUCACCGUGCAAUGAAGUACUUACCGCUUGAAGUAUAGUAACGUGACGUUCGUCCUCGCCUCCACAUCCGCUGAGUUUAUAAAGGAUGUUUUAAAGGAGAACGAUGUCAUACAUGUGGCUGGGGGAAGUGCGAUAGUAGAUAUGGCCAUUAUGGCUAGAUGUGAUCAUUUGAUUCAAACUGUUGGGACGUAUGGCUGGUGGUCUGGAUUUCUUAACAGGGGCAGUGUUGUGUAUUACAAAUACCCAGCCAGGGAAGGAUCGGAGCUCCGAAAACUGUUUGGAGACUAUUCCAAUUUUUUCUACCCGAAAUGGAUCGGAAUGGACUGAUUAUUGGAACUGGUUUCAUCAGGUCUAUGAACUAACCUGAAGGGACUCUUGGAGUACUAGAUACUUUCCAAAGGGUGUGGGGGCGUCGGGGUAGCCUAAUAGUUAAAGCGUCCGCUCGUCACGCUGAAGACCCGGGUUCGAGUCCCGACAUGGGUACAACGUUUGAAGCCCAUUUCUGGUGUCCCCCGCCGUAAUAUUGCUGGAAUAUUACUAAAAGCGGCGUAAAACCAUACUCACUCACUCACUCCAAAGGGUGUGACAAAAUGGAUCGGAUGGCCAACCACAUCCAUACCCUCACAGCAACUGCAUUCGCCCUACACACACGCAAGCCCCUCUCAGAACCACAAAACCAUCACUCAUCAACCGGAGCACCCACAUUCUCUCAUCCGACUCCUGUUGGGGUCAGCGCGAUAGAUCGCAUUACCUUCUGAAAAGAAACGAAUUGUGGAUUGGGUGUUAUUUUGCCUGUUCAGUGUUAUGAUACCGAGACGUCGAUGACCCACGAAUCUCGUGAUAUACCUUGAAUACUGCUAUUGACGGUGUAAUAUAGAACAUCAUUGCAAAAGAACAAGUCUUAACCUUAUAACACAAGUGAACGCAAUAACACGUAUUCGUUCAAGUGCACAAUUUCAGUCUCUUUAUAGGAUUGGUAUAUUCCAAAAAUGUGCACAUUGCCUCGUUUUGAAAAAUGAAAUGACGUCACUACCUCCA